Molecule: ribosomal RNA, 516 nt
Filed under: uncultured bacterium
Lineage: Bacteria
Description: bacterial SSU rRNA
Rfam family: Bacterial small subunit ribosomal RNA
Source: RNAcentral
GGGCAACCCUGAUCCAGCCAUGCCGCGUGAGUGAAGAAGGCCUUCGGGUUGUAAAGCUCUUUCGGCCGGGAAGAAAUCGCAUGGGUUAAUACCCUGUGUGGAUGACGGUACCGGCAUAAGAAGCACCGGCUAACUACGUGCCAGCAGCCGCGGUAAUACGUAGGGUGCGAGCGUUAAUCGGAAUUACUGGGCGUAAAGCGUGCGCAGGCGGUUUGAUAAGACAGGCGUGAAAUCCCCGGGCUUAACCUGGGAACUGCGCUUGUGACUGUCUCACUAGAGUACGGCAGAGGGGGGUGGAAUUCCACGUGUAGCAGUGAAAUGCGUAGAGAUGUGGAGGAACACCGAUGGCGAAGGCAGCCCCCUGGGCCGAUACUGACGCUCAUGCACGAAAGCGUGGGGAGCAAACAGGAUUAGAUACCCUGGUAGUCCACGCCCUAAACGAUGUCAACUAGGUGUUGGGUGGGUAAAACCAUUUAGUACCGUAGCUAACGCGUGAAGUUGACCGCCUGGGGAGUA